GCUCAGAUUGAACGCUGGCGGCAGGCCUAACACAUGCAAGUCGAGCGGCAGCGGGAAGUAGUUUACUACUUCGCCGGCGAGCGGCGGACGGGUGAGUAAUGUCUGGGGAUCUGCCUGAUGGAGGGGGAUAACUACUGGAAACGGUAGCUAAUACCGCAUGACCUCGCAAGAGCAAAGUGGGGGACCUUCGGGCCUCACGCCAUCGGAUGAACCCAGAUGGGAUUAGCUAGUAGGUGGGGUAAUGGCUCACCUAGGCGACGAUCCCUAGCUGGUCUGAGAGGAUGACCAGCCACACUGGAACUGAGACACGGUCCAGACUCCUACGGGAGGCAGCAGUGGGGAAUAUUGCACAAUGGGCGCAAGCCUGAUGCAGCCAUGCCGCGUGUGUGAAGAAGGCCUUCGGGUUGUAAAGCACUUUCAGCGAGGAGGAAGGCAGUCGUGUUAAUAGCACGAUUGAUUGACGUUACUCGCAGAAGAAGCACCGGCUAACUCCGUGCCA
Molecule: ribosomal RNA, 499 nt
Filed under: Yersinia bercovieri
Lineage: Bacteria; Pseudomonadati; Pseudomonadota; Gammaproteobacteria; Enterobacterales; Yersiniaceae
Description: bacterial SSU rRNA
Rfam family: Bacterial small subunit ribosomal RNA
Source: RNAcentral